Molecule: unclassified non-coding RNA, 213 nt
Filed under: plant metagenome
Description: partial contains small subunit ribosomal RNA, internal transcribed spacer 1, and 5.8S ribosomal RNA
Source: RNAcentral
UUUCCGUAGGUGAACCUGCGGAAGGAUCAUUCAUAAUAAGUGUUUUAUGGCACUUUUUUAAAUCCAUAUCCACCUUGUGUGCAAUGUCAGGGUUGAUGUUUCUCUCGAGAGGAUCAACCCCAAACAUCAACUAUAUCUCAACUCUUUUUCUGAAAAAUAUUAUGAAUAAAACAAUUCAAAAUACAACUUUCAACAACGGAUCUCUUGGCUCUC